Camellia sinensis is the source of this 1422-nucleotide non-coding RNA. NCBI's taxonomy places the organism in Eukaryota, Viridiplantae, Streptophyta, Magnoliopsida, Ericales, Theaceae. The record is from RefSeq and is a predicted model, not a curated record.
UCUAUCUAUACAUGUUUUUGCUCCUAACACCCUCGUUCUCUCUCUCUCUCUCUCUCUCUCUCUCUGCAUGCGACCUCUCGAGCUCUCUUCGUUCUAGUUUGUUUUGAGGUAUGUCCUUCGAGCAUUGCCUUGAUCGAUCGCGCGACUUUGCAUGGCCUCACAAUGUAUGUCAUUCACUUUCUCUCCCAAUCGAUCAAUUUUUCUCUGUCUCUCGAUGAUCAUUUUUUCCCAAAAGCUUCGAAUUCAUCAUUUUAUUUGAAGUUAGGGUUCAGUGAGAGCCAUGGAAAUGCAGACUACGAAGCCAAAUGCAUUCUCAAUCAAUUGAUCUCAAACCCUAACUGAUCUCUACACACUUCUCUGUAUCGAAUGAUUCGACGUCUUUGCAAUCUCCUCUCUGAUCGCGAACUUGAACCUGUUGAAGCAAUUCAUCGAUGAUUGCAAGUCCAAUCCCUCAAUCCUCUCCGAUCUUUUUCCCUCAUUCUUCCGAGACUACCUUGAAAGAUGGGAGACUCUUCUAUCGAGGUCAUGGAAGAAAGCUGUGAUGCUUCGCAGGAGGCUAAGGUGCAAGAGAAACUGGAGGAAGUAAUAGAGUAGCUCAAACAGGCUAUUUCGCUCAAUUCAAACCUCAGCAAUUAUGUAUUUAGGUUCUCUUAUCACGAUCGCUUCAGCCAAAGUCUUCUUGGAAGAACGUUAUCACGAUGGCUCGAAAGGGAGAUUCUGUUCAAUUGAAAGUGAAAUAAAAUUGGGAAAGAUUGGUCAAAUUGAGUAAAACAAAGAAAAUUGGGAUGUGAUUGGGAGAAACUGGUUUCAGAUGCCGCUGAUCUGUUAAUCUUUGAUUCGUUCAUCAUUAGGAGACUUCUGAUGGGCAGGUUGGCAAAACACUAAAUUUGAGACAACUUCUUGUGCCUCAACUGUUCUAGAGCUCCCACAAGAUGACAAUGGUAGUUUGCAGAAAACACAUGCUGUGGGUUCUUGCAAAGAGCGGGACAUGGAAUCACAUGUAUCCUUAUCAGGAGAAGCUGCAAAGCUGAAGGAAACAAAUCAAGCUCCAAGAAGUUUUUCUAGCACUCUUCUAAAUGCCUCAAAUCCUGAAGUGAAUGAUGACGAGGAUAAGUGCAUUCAUUCUGGCUGCAAAGUUGUUGAGUUUGUCCUGGCUUUGUAGGAAACUGGGUGCUUUUCUGUUGUUAUGAAAUGUGUGCUCCUAUUACUGCUGCUAUUGUUACAACAUCUGCUCUUCGAAUCCCUACCAUUGGUAUUGGGGCAGGGACUUUCUGUAGUGGCCAAGUUAAUGGAUUCUUUAGCUCUCUCUACUAUUCCUAAUAAUGAAUUAAACUUGACUGGCUUGUAUUGUGUGUAAUCUUUUUGUUUUCAUUUGUACACAUAAUUUAUUUGAUCUUGUAAUUUGCUUUUCAAGUACUAAAA